This is a long non-coding RNA of Herpailurus yagouaroundi (jaguarundi), 836 nucleotides long. RefSeq lists it as uncharacterized. NCBI's taxonomy places the organism in Eukaryota, Metazoa, Chordata, Mammalia, Carnivora, Felidae. The transcript has 3 exons. The record is from RefSeq and is a predicted model, not a curated record.
ACCCCGCACCUGAGACCCCGGCCUUCCACCUCCGCCUUCAGACCCCCCAUCCGAGCCCUCAUCCCUCCCCUUGGACCUCCCCCGCCUCGCUGGACCCCACCCCAGCCCUCCACUCCCAUCCCCUACUUUCCUCCCAGGCUCUCUUCCCCCUGUCUGGCCGUCACCCAGUCUGCCCUGCCUGGCCCUUUCCGCCCCAGCCCUCCCGGCUCUCCCCGCUUCCAGCCACACGUGCUCGGGGCCUUCCCACGGCUCCCCCUCCGGCCCCCCCGUCCCUCGUCCAGACAAGUACGGAAGUUCUCGGUGGCCGACUGCAGGAGGGCAGCCCUCCCACAACCUGGGAGGAAGGCCGCGGGGCCUCGCCGGCCGGGCAGUCUUCAACAGCCCCUCUUCCUCCAGCUCCAAUACACUUCCUCCGAAACCCACCUCUGACUCUCACUUGUUGGACCCCAGGGGUCCAGAUGAGUGACCCCAGCCAAAAGAAAGAAUCUCUUUUUCAAUGGUGCCAGGCAAAUUUCCAACAUUGAAGCUGAUCUCCCCAUCUCUGACUCAUCUCUGUGGGUAGGAGGGAUAAAAUGCCAUGGUGGCCAAGCCCAGAUCACCUGUCCUUUCCUGGACCCAAGGUAGCUUCCCAAAGGAAAACCAAGGUGCUGUUACCGGAACCAGGAGAAGACCAGCCCAGAAGAUGCCCCCUCCGCCCAGCCUGUUCCUGUGUCUUCACCAGGUCUCACUUUCCUCAACCCCAAAAGGAGGACUUCUUCCAGGCCCCUUUAUAAGGAUAACUUGGUUGGUUUUCAUCACUCUGUUGUUCCUGAGGAUUUUAAUAUAAUCUACCUAAC